UUACGGUCAAAUCACGCUGAAAACACCGGUUCUCGUUCGAUCACCGAAGUUAAGCAUCGUAGAGCCAGGUCGAGGAAGUAUUUUAGAUGGGGACCGCUUGGGGAGCUACCUGGUACUGUAAG
Molecule: non-coding RNA, 122 nt
Organism: Acanthosepion pharaonis
Lineage: Eukaryota; Metazoa; Mollusca; Cephalopoda; Sepiida; Sepiidae
Source: the annotation of a GenBank genome assembly